CUUAGGUUCUUCUGCAGCAAUGAC
Molecule: non-coding RNA, 24 nt
Filed under: Arabidopsis thaliana (thale cress)
Lineage: Eukaryota; Viridiplantae; Streptophyta; Magnoliopsida; Brassicales; Brassicaceae
Source: RNAcentral